Magnolia sinica is the source of this 1755-nucleotide long non-coding RNA. RefSeq lists it as uncharacterized. Lineage: Eukaryota; Viridiplantae; Streptophyta; Magnoliopsida; Magnoliales; Magnoliaceae. The transcript has 6 exons. The record is from RefSeq and is a predicted model, not a curated record.
UGCAAAAAGGUGACGUGUUUAUCUUAUUUGCAACAAGCAACAUAAUUGUUAUCAUUUAAUUGUCCAAUGAAAUGCAUUCAUGAAUAUUGAAAUAUUUUCAGUUACUUGCAACAGGAAUGAUAGAAUUCUGAAAAUAAGAUCAAGAUUGUGCUUUCUUGACCAUCAGGAGUAUACAUAUGUUGGUGUGUUUUAUAUAGUCCUUUGCUUCUUAUUUUCCCUUAUGAUUCCUUGCCUAAUGUUGUGGUUGUGUGGAUCUCUUGACUGGCAAUUCUGCAGAAAUCAUUCAGAAGGCAUGCAUCUGCAGAUGCCCAAUACAACUGUCUCACGGAAAGUCAAAACUUGAAACACAUGUUGGUGAUCCAAGCCCUUCAUCACACUGGCCUCAUGAUGAAUGUGUCUUCACUUAUUAUCAGUUUUGCCCAUUCAUCAGGAUUUGCAAAAUUGGUUACAGCUUUUGCAAGAAAUGGUCACAGAUGAGAAGUAUAGAUUGAGCUGUUGAACCGUGUCAGGAAAUGUCAAUAGUGCAGCCCAAUUCAGAGUAAUGGAAGAAUCUCUGAUGAAAUCUCUUUAUUCACAUCGAGAACACUAGAGACAUCACUGUUGGCAGUUAACUAAUCAUGGCAAUAUAUGGGAGCUAGUGAAGAUCUCAACUUUUCAAUGGCUCAACGAGAUGCCACGUACUUGAAGUUUCAGAUACAUGUUGAAUCUUGAUCUCCAAUCUUCCUAUCGAUGACCCAGCUACAAUUUUGCACCUUCCAACAAAAUACCAUUCUAUGAACAGAUUCGAUGAAACUUCCAUCUGAUACAAUAGCUUGGAUUAGAGAAGCCAGACCUGAUACCUUUCGUCCCUUCCAUGUUCAAGUAUUUGAGGGAAAGGGGGAUGCAAGUCGAAGUAAAGGUUGUCUACAUUGCAAUUGAGGCUCUUUGGCUUCAUACAUUCAUGGAUGUGGCCCACUAGACUGCAUGGACAAAUCAUCAAGACCACCAUCCAUCUGCUCGCCCCUACCGUUGUGGGUGAUUGUACAGAAGACGGAGAAUCCAUUCUACCCUAUUUCAGUUGCAGUCAGAUCAUGAAGACCAGCAUAUACACACACCUACUGUUUGUGGGUGAUUGUACAAAAAACAUGUGGAUAGGAGAAUCCUAGCUGCCCAAUUUUCUCUGUUGAAUGUGAUAUUUAUACAGUUUGUAUAAAAAAUGGCUGAUUUUUGUCGUCACCCGUUUGCUUGGAGGCUCUUACUCAGACGGAUAGGAUUUUCCAAUUGAUGUGAUAUUUAUACAAUUGCCUAUCACCAUAGGGCUUAUAAGAUUAACAUACCAGAUGAUCCACCCAUGAGCCAUGCAGGCCCAAUCAAGCAGUAGACCUUCUGAGGUAAGGGCAGGCUCCAAAUUGAAAAUGAAGCAAUAGGCCUCUCAAAUUCUAUGUCAAGGGUGGGAAAUCUGGUGUUCAAACGGGAUUCUUCAGAUCAAGCAUGGAUGGUCCUCAUUGCUUGCAAGUUUAUCAGCUGAUAUGCUUCAUGAGUAAGUUUCAGGAAGCAAUGAUCACUUUACUAGCUGUUUGUAGCUCUAUUUUUAUGUUGAGUUUAGAAGGCUAAAUUAUAAAUGGAUGUUUAAGUAGAGGCAGAAAUAGAGAUUGUAUGUAUUUUGGAAUGCAUGUAAAACAGAUCCGUAGUCUGACUGUUAUGCUUGUUACAAGUAAUUAUAUGAGUUUCAUGUGCUAUGUUUAUGUUAAGUAAUUGAUUGGCCAUUGUAUUUAC